This 463-nucleotide ribosomal RNA is filed under the name Streptacidiphilus neutrinimicus. Its description in RNAcentral is "bacterial SSU rRNA". It matches the Rfam family "Bacterial small subunit ribosomal RNA", at positions 28 to 508 of the family's 1533-position model. Lineage: Bacteria; Bacillati; Actinomycetota; Actinomycetes; Kitasatosporales; Streptomycetaceae. The record is from RNAcentral.
GACGAACGCUGGCGGCGUGCUUAACACAUGCAAGUCGAACGGUGAAGCCCUUCGGGGUGGAUCAGUGGCGAACGGGUGAGUAACACGUGGGCAAUCUGCCCUGCACUCUGGGACAAGCCUUGGAAACGAGGUCUAAUACCGGAUAUUACCCUUGACCGCAUGGUCUUGGGUGGAAAGCUCCGGCGGUGCAGGAUGAGCCCGCGGCCUAUCAGCUUGUUGGUGGGGUGAUGGCCUACCAAGGCGACGACGGGUAGCCGGCCUGAGAGGGCGACCGGCCACACUGGGACUGAGACACGGCCCAGACUCCUACGGGAGGCAGCAGUGGGGAAUAUUGCACAAUGGGCGAAAGCCUGAUGCAGCGACGCCGCGUGAGGGAUGAAGGCCUUCGGGUUGUAAACCUCUUUCAGCAGGGAAGAAGCGCAAGUGACGGUACCUGCAGAAGAAGCACCGGCUAACUACGUGC